This is a long non-coding RNA of Nomia melanderi (Alkali bee), 482 nucleotides long. RefSeq lists it as uncharacterized. The record is from RefSeq and is a predicted model, not a curated record. NCBI's taxonomy places the organism in Eukaryota, Metazoa, Arthropoda, Insecta, Hymenoptera, Halictidae.
ACCGUUCGGUUGCUCGUAAUUCGUUCGUUUCGAGAUUAGGUGCGACCUCGAGGUCCGUCUUCUUCUAAGUCUUGAUCGAAGUGUGCGCGCGUGUCCGUUCCUCGAGACUGGUUAAAGUAUUAAGGAUUGUCGAAAGGAGACUUGAAUCCGUGUGGACUGUAUUUAAUCCAUUUAAACCAGGAGGGCAGAGAUGCAGUCUUACAGAGACUGCCGAGCAGAUUUCCCCCCGGUAAGAAGGAUUUAUGUGAUCGUUUGAGGCGGAUUUUUCUUAUCAGCGGAUGAUGCCUGCCGGUGCAAGGAGUGCGGACAUUAAGAAAGUUAGCAGCAGGCUGUACCUCCACGUCUCACGUCUUGAGCUGCGAGUCUUUGGGCGGGAGACAGAAGGAGACGGGACGAGAUAGGACGAUGGAGCGUGUCUGCGCGAGGGAGGAACCGGCAGCGGCGGAGGCAGAGGGAGAGAAACGGCGACACGGGGGGAGGAG